GGAACGUACCCUUUGGUUCGGAACAACCCAGGGAAACUUGGGCUAAUACCGGAUAAGCCCUUACGGGGCACAGAUUCAUCGCCGAAGGAUCGGCCCGCGUCUGAUUAGCUAGUUGGUGGGGUAAUGGCCCACCAAGGCGACGAUCAGUAGCUGGUCUGAGAGGAUGAUCAGCCUCACUGGGACUGAGACACGGCCCAGACUCCUACGGGAGGCAGCAGUGGGGAAUAUUGGACAAUGGGCGCAAGCCUGAUCCAGCCAUGCCGCGUGGGUGAUGAAGGCCCUAGGGUUGUAAAGCCCUUUCGGCGGGGAAGAUACUGACGGUACCCGCAGAAGAAGCCCCGGCUAACUUCGUGCCAGCAGCCGCGGUAAUACGAACGGGGCUAGAGUUGCUCGGAAUCACUGGGCGUAAAGCGC
RNAcentral lists this ribosomal RNA (414 nucleotides) under uncultured Paenibacillus sp. RNAcentral describes it as "bacterial SSU rRNA". It matches the Rfam family "Bacterial small subunit ribosomal RNA", at positions 121 to 568 of the family's 1533-position model. The record is from RNAcentral. Lineage: Bacteria; Bacillati; Bacillota; Bacilli; Caryophanales; Paenibacillaceae.